This 2563-nucleotide long non-coding RNA is filed under the name Nicotiana benthamiana. Its description in RNAcentral is "long non-coding RNA (NBEN_LNC018696)". Lineage: Eukaryota; Viridiplantae; Streptophyta; Magnoliopsida; Solanales; Solanaceae. The record is from RNAcentral.
GCCAUUAACUCGGCCGAAUACGGCCCUCUAUGGCGCGCUCUCCGGCGGAAUUUUGUUACUGAGUUGAUAAACCCUACAAGAAUCAAGCAGUGCAGUUGGAUAAGGAAAUGGGCUAUGGAAUACCAUAUGAAAAGGAUUGAAAAUGAAGUUUCUCAACAGGGGUUUGUGGAGGUGAUGGCUAAUUGUAGGCUUACUAUAUGCAGCAUUCUCAUUUGCCUUUGUUUUGGUGCUAAAAUUUCUGAAGAGAGAAUCAAGAAAAUUGAGAACAUACUUAAAGAUGUUAUGCUCAUCACAGCUCCACAGCUUCCGGACUUCUUGCCCGUCCUCACACCAUUGUUUCGCCGUCAAGUGAAACAGGCAAAGAAGCUGAGACAGACACAACUGGAAUACCUAGUGCCUUUGGUAAGCUUAAACUGUUAGAGAGCGUAUACUUAUAAUUAGUUAAUUAUAUUAUAUAUGUCUCAACACGCCCCUCACGUGUGUAGCCCUGCAUGCAUGAUUCUUUUUCUUAGCCAAACACAGAGAAAUAAUUUUGAGAGAUUUGAACCAAAGACCUUUUGCGCGCUCUAAUAUAUACUAUGUCGAAAAUGUAUGACCCUGUUAUCUAAAAGUUUAAAUGGUAAGAAGUAUCACACUUUUGGUUGAUUACUGAAUUAUAUAUAUUAUGUCUUCCAUCACAGGUAAGAGACAGAAAGGCAUUUGUGGAGAGCAAUGGGAACCCGAAAAGUAGCAGUUCAGAAAUGGUGAGUCCAAUUGGUGCAGCCUAUGUUGAUUCAUUAUUUAGUCUUGAACUUCCUGGCAGGAAAUUAGGAGAAGCAGAAAUUAUCACACUUGUUUCAGAAACAAUAGGUGCAGGAACUGAUACUAGUGCCACUGCACUAGAAUGGGCUUUGCUUCACUUAGUGAUGGACCAAGAAAUCCAAGAGAAACUCUACAAAGAAAUAGUUGAUUGUAUUGGAAAACAUGGUGACAUUUCAGAAAGUGAUGUUGAGAAAAUGCCUUAUCUUGGAGCCAUUGUGAAGGAGACUUUUAGAAGACACCCACCUAGCCAUUUUGUCUUGUCACAUUCUGAGAACUGUACAAAGAAAUAGUUGAUUGUGUUGGAAAACAUGGUGACAUUUCAGAAAGUGAUGUUGAGAAAAUGCCUUAUCUUGGAGCCAUUGUGAAGGAGACUUUUAGAAGACAUCCACCUAGUCAUUUUGUCUUGUCACAUUCUGUAACAAAUCAUACUCAAUUAGGAGGUUACAAUAUCCCUUCUGAUGCUUAUGUUGAAUUUUACACUGCAUGGGUAACGGAGGACCCUAGUUUAUGGAAAGAUCCCGGCGAGUUUCGGCCAGAGAGGUUUUUGACUGGGGAUGGAGUUGACGUGGACAUCACCGGAAUGAGGGGUGUGAAGAUGCUGCCAUUCGGAGCGGGUCGUCGGAUCUGCCCCGAUUGGUCAUUGGGUACGUUGCAUAUUAACUUGAUGCUUGCUAAGAUGGUUCACAAAUUCAAGUGGAUACCAAUACCCGACAACCCACCCGACCCGACAGAGACAUUUGCUUUUACUGUGGUGAUGAAAAAUCCCCUCAAAGCCAUUAUUUUGCCAAGGUCAAAAAUUUGAACAAUUAGCUAGAUGUUGUUUGGGUUCCAAAAGUGUUCAUGUGGUGUACCAUAUAUUAGAUCUUAGCUAGGUUGCCUCUUUUUUGUGUUACAUGGAUAAAUGCUUCCUAUAAUUUUGCUUUUGUUGAAUGUGAGUGCUAGAAUUAAUGGUUAUGGGACCUAUUUUCUCCUGAAUAUUUUCUAUGUUCACUUGGUGCCACAAAAUAUAGUGCUGAAGAAUAUUAUUGCUUUAUAUAUAUCAAGAAAACUUCUUAUGCUCUUUAACAAUUGGUUCAACUUUUAUAGUACUACCAAUUACGCUUUAAACAUGCCAAGAGUGGCGAAAACUCACAUCUCUUUUUUUUCCUUCUAAUAAAAGAUUUAACUUCUAACACUUACAUACCACUACUAUAUAAAAUUAGUCACAACAAUAGGCAAACGAACAUCACGUCAAAUAUGAUAUUAUAACAUAAAAAUGCUAAAUAUUCUACUGCAACAAAUUAAAAUACUCUAAUACAAGGAUUUAAUUAAUAAUAUUGCUAGUGUAAAACUUUGGUAUUACCAAGCAUUUUAUGAGUAACUAUCAACUUACUUUCCGCAAUAAAUGACAGAAAAAAGGAGGGAAAAAAAAAAGAUAACUCAAUGACCAAGAAUGAGUGACCGUGGUCUAAUUGGGAGACCCCUCGUCAAAGGUAAUGACUAAUAUAGGCGUUUAAGAAUAAGGCAGGUAGACCCAUACUCAGGCAAGAAAGAAAGUCUCUUACAAAAAAGGCAGAAAGAAGAGGCCCUCGCUCUACAGGAAACCUAAUAGAAUGUAUUACUUCUUAAGGUAAUUCAGGGAAGGCACCUGUUUAGUUGGAAACAAUGACAUUAAAAUUUCGGGUGAAGAUGAUUCUUGAGCAAGUUCUGCUAGCAUUUCUUCAUAGCACUCAUCUAUUUCGGGUUGAGAUUCAGCUAGCCCAAAGUUUCUUCUUUCAGANNN